GGUAAAUAUGUUUAUUAUGUCGAAUGGAGCAAUGCGGAUCCUCUCUGAUAAGCUGAACAAAAUGACCAGAAGCACAGCCGUUGCAGACCCAUGCUGAUUUCACAUAUACAAUCUUGCCUAUAUAUGUAUAUGUAUGUACUACUGGAGCCGAGUUCGUUAGCCUCUCCGUCAAUGAUAUAGCACCGAGAAAUGGGACUUGUAAUGAAACUGAUAUAAAUAUAUUUAUAUGUAUAUUUUA
This is a non-coding RNA of Drosophila virilis, 238 nucleotides long. The record is from RefSeq and is a predicted model, not a curated record. Lineage: Eukaryota; Metazoa; Arthropoda; Insecta; Diptera; Drosophilidae.